UUUCCUACGGGACGCAGCAGUAGGGAAUCUUCCACAAUGGGCGAAAGCCUGAUGGAGCAACGCCGCGUGGGUGAAGAAGGUCUUCGGAUCGUAAAACCCUGUUGUUAGAGAAGAAAGUGCGUGAGAGUAACUGUUCACGUUUCGACGGUAUCUAACCAGAAAGCCACGGCUAACUACGUGCCAGCAGCCGCGGUAAUACGUAGGUGGCAAGCGUUAUCAGGAUUUAUUGGGCGUAAAGGGAAAGCAGGAGGUUUUUUAAGUCUGAUGUGAAAGGGUUCGGAUUAACGGGAGUAGUGGAUUGGAAA
RNAcentral lists this ribosomal RNA (305 nucleotides) under uncultured bacterium. Its description in RNAcentral is "bacterial SSU rRNA". It matches the Rfam family "Bacterial small subunit ribosomal RNA", at positions 335 to 632 of the family's 1533-position model. The record is from RNAcentral.